This is a long non-coding RNA of Etheostoma cragini (Arkansas darter), 113 nucleotides long. RefSeq lists it as uncharacterized. NCBI's taxonomy places the organism in Eukaryota, Metazoa, Chordata, Actinopteri, Perciformes, Percidae. The record is from RefSeq and is a predicted model, not a curated record. The transcript has 3 exons.
UUUCUCCAAGUUUGUAUGCGUGUGGAAGCACCAGAGGCACAAAACAACACCCUAAAUCCCAGAAAAAGUGAUUCUUUCAUAAUAUAGGCACUUUAAAGUGAAUAUAUUCAUGC